UACGUAGGCAGCGAGCGUUGUUCGGAAUUACUGGGCGUAAAGGGUGAGUAGGUGGCGCUAUAAGUUCGGUGUGAAAUCUCCCGGCUCAACUGGGAGGGUGCGCCGAAAACUGUGGUGCUCGAGUGUGGGAGAGGUAAGCGGAAUUCCUGGUGUAGCGGUGAAAUGCGUAGAUAUCAGGAGGAACACCGGCGGUGUAGACGGCUUACUGGACCAUUACUGACACUGAAUCACGAAAGUGUGGGUAGCAAACAGG
This 253-nucleotide ribosomal RNA is filed under the name uncultured bacterium. Its description in RNAcentral is "partial 16S ribosomal RNA". It matches the Rfam family "Bacterial small subunit ribosomal RNA", at positions 524 to 776 of the family's 1533-position model. The record is from RNAcentral.